RNAcentral lists this long non-coding RNA (1083 nucleotides) under Homo sapiens (human). RNAcentral's name for it is "non-protein coding lnc-ZNF277-2:1". The record is from RNAcentral. Lineage: Eukaryota; Metazoa; Chordata; Mammalia; Primates; Hominidae.
UCAGCCCUACUCCACUCCAGCACUAUAGUUGUAGCAGGAGUUUUCCUGCUCAUCCGCUUCUACCCUUUAAUAGAAAAUAGUCUACCAAUCCAAGCCUUUACAUUAUGUCUGGGGGCCAUUACCCCCUUAUUUACAGCGAUCUGCGCUCUGACACAAAAUGAUAUUUAAAAAAUCAUAGCGUUCUUCACCUCAAGCCAGCUGGGCCUUAUAAUAGUCACAAUUGGCAUUAAUCAACCACAUCUAGCAUUCCUUAACAUCUGCACGCAUGCCAUUUUUAAAGCUAUAUUAUUUAUAUGUUCAGGCUCCAUCAGCCAUAACCUCAAUGACGAACAAGACAUCCAAAAAAUAGGAGGACUGUUCAAGACUUUACCCUUCACUUCCUCCUCCCUUACUAUUGGUAGCCUUGCACUUACAGGUAUGCCUUUCCUCACAGGCUUUAACUCUAAAGACCUUAUUAUAGAAACCGCAAAUACAUCAUACACCAACACCUGAGCCCUUUCUAUUGCUCUUAUUGCCACCUCCUUAACAGCUGUCUAUAGUACCUGUAUUAUUUUCUUCGUUCUCAUAGGACAAUCUCGCUUCACAACUCUGAUUAUUAUUAACGAAAAUAACCCUUCCUAAUUAACUCAAUUAAGCACCUAACAAUACAGCAGUAUCUUCUCUGGGUUCCUCAUCACCAACAGUACUAUUCCUGCUUCAUCCCCCCAAACAAUUAUACCACUCCACUUAAAGCUCAAAGCCCUAGGUGUAACCACCUUAGGCCUCUUACUAGCAAUGGAGCUUAAUCUCAUAACUAAUAACCUCAAACUAAAGUACCCAUUACAGACAUUCAGCUUCUCCAAUAUACUAGGUUUUUAUUCAGCCACAAUCAACCAUUCAACCCCCCACUCAAGCCUAUUCACAAACCAAAAUGUGGCUUCACUUCUACUAGACGUAAUUUGACUAGAAAAGUCUAUACCAAUGACCAUCUCACAAAUCUAAGUUUCAGCCUCCAUUACUGUAUCUACUCAAAAAGGCCUAAUAAAACUCUACUUUCUCUCUUUUUUUAUCCCAUCCCUUCUAACACUACUAUUAAUUAUCUAA